RNAcentral lists this ribosomal RNA (1788 nucleotides) under Salmonella enterica subsp. enterica serovar Anatum. RNAcentral's name for it is "partial 23S ribosomal RNA". It matches the Rfam family "Bacterial large subunit ribosomal RNA", at positions 593 to 2364 of the family's 2925-position model. Lineage: Bacteria; Pseudomonadati; Pseudomonadota; Gammaproteobacteria; Enterobacterales; Enterobacteriaceae. The record is from RNAcentral.
GUGACUGCGUACCUUUUGUAUAAUGGGUCAGCGACUUAUAUUCUGUAGCAAGGUUAACCGAAUAGGGGAGCCGGAGGGAAACCGAGUCUUAAUUGGGCGUUAAGUUGCAGGGUAUAGACCCGAAACCCGGUGAUCUAGCCAUGGGCAGGUUGAAGGUUGGGUAACACUAACUGGAGGACCGAACCGACUAAUGUUGAAAAAUUAGCGGAUGACCUGUGGCUGGGGGUGAAAGGCCAAUCAAACCGGGAGAUAGCUGGUUCUCCCCGAAAGCUAUUUAGGUAGCGCCUCGUGAAUUCAUCUCCGGGGGUAGAGCACUGUUUCGGCUAGGGGGCCAUCCCGGCUUACCAACCCGAUGCAAACUGCGAAUACCGGAGAAUGUUAUCACGGGAGACACACGGCGGGUGCUAACGUCCGUCGUGAAGAGGGAAACAACCCAGACCGCCAGCUAAGGUCCCAAAGUCAUGGUUAAGUGGGAAACGAUGUGGGAAGGCCCAGACAGCCAGGAUGUUGGCUUAGAAGCAGCCAUCAUUUAAAGAAAGCGUAAUAGCUCACUGGUCGAGUCGGCCUGCGCGGAAGAUGUAACGGGGCUAAACCAUGCACCGAAGCUGCGGCAGCGACACUCAGGUGUUGUUGGGUAGGGGAGCGUUCUGUAAGCCUGUGAAGGUGGCCUGUGAGGGUUGCUGGAGGUAUCAGAAGUGCGAAUGCUGACAUAAGUAACGAUAAAGCGGGUGAAAAGCCCGCUCGCCGGAAGACCAAGGGUUCCUGUCCAACGUUAAUCGGGGCAGGGUGAGUCGACCCCUAAGGCGAGGCCGAAAGGCGUAGUCGAUGGGAAACGGGUUAAUAUUCCCGUACUUGGUGUUACUGCGAAGGGGGGACGGAGAAGGCUAUGUUGGCCGGGCGACGGUUGUCCCGGUUUAAGCGUGUAGGUGUGUGUUCCAGGUAAAUCCGGUUCACUUUAACACUGAGGCGUGAUGACGAGGCACUACGGUGCUGAAGCAACAAAUGCCCUGCUUCCAGGAAAAGCCUCUAAGCAUCAGGUAACAUCAAAUCGUACCCCAAACCGACACAGGUGGUCAGGUAGAGAAUACCAAGGCGCUUGAGAGAACUCGGGUGAAGGAACUAGGCAAAAUGGUGCCGUAACUUCGGGAGAAGGCACGCUGACACGUAGGUGAAGUGAUUUACUCAUGGAGCUGAAGUCAGUCGAAGAUACCAGCUGGCUGCAACUGUUUAUUAAAAACACAGCACUGUGCAAACACGAAAGUGGACGUAUACGGUGUGACGCCUGCCCGGUGCCGGAAGGUUAAUUGAUGGGGUCAGCGCAAGCGAAGCUCCUGAUCGAAGCCCCGGUAAACGGCGGCCGUAACUAUAACGGUCCUAAGGUAGCGAAAUUCCUUGUCGGGUAAGUUCCGACCUGCACGAAUGGCGUAAUGAUGGCCAGGCUGUCUCCACCCGAGACUCAGUGAAAUUGAACUCGCUGUGAAGAUGCAGUGUACCCGCGGCAAGACGGAAAGACCCCGUGAACCUUUACUAUAGCUUGACACUGAACAUUGAGCCUUGAUGUGUAGGAUAGGUGGGAGGCUUUGAAGUGUGGACGCCAGUCUGCAUGGAGCCGACCUUGAAAUACCACCCUUUAAUGUUUGAUGUUCUAACGUGGACCCGUAAUCCGGGUUGCGGACAGUGUCUGGUGGGUAGUUUGACUGGGGCGGUCUCCUCCUAAAGAGUAACGGAGGAGCACGAAGGUUGGCUAAUCCUGGUCGGACAUCAGGAGGUUAGUGCAAUGGCAUAAGC